UACGAGAGGUGCAAGCGUUGUUCGGAAUCAUUGGGCGUAAAGGGUGCGUAGACGGUAUGAUAAGUUCGUUGUUAAAGGUCCUGGCUUAACUGGGAACAUGCAAUGAAUACUGUUGUGCUAGAGGGUGAGAGAGAGAAGUGGAAUUCCCGGAGUAGCGGUCAAAUGCGUAGAUCUCGGGAGGAACACCGAUGGCGAAGGCAGCUUCUUGGCUCAUUCCUGACGUUCAUGCACGAAAGCGUGGGGAGCAAACAGG
This 253-nucleotide ribosomal RNA is filed under the name uncultured bacterium. RNAcentral describes it as "partial 16S ribosomal RNA". It matches the Rfam family "Bacterial small subunit ribosomal RNA", at positions 524 to 776 of the family's 1533-position model. The record is from RNAcentral.